ACUGCAAGUCGAGCGGACAGAUGGGAGCUUGCUCCCUGAUGUUAGCGGCGGACGGGUGAGUAACACGUGGGUAACCUGCCUGUAAGACUGGGAUAACUCCGGGAAACCGGGGCUAAUACCGGAUGCUUGAUUGAACCGCAUGGUUCAAUUAUAAAAGGUGGCUUUUAGCUACCACUUACAGAUGGACCCGCGGCGCAUUAGCUAGUUGGUGAGGUAACGGCUCACCAAGGCAACGAUGCGUAGCCGACCUGAGAGGGUGAUCGGCCACACUGGGACUGAGACACGGCCCAGACUCCUACGGGAGGCAGCAGUAGGGAAUCUUCCGCAAUGGACGAAAGUCUGACGGAGCAACGCCGCGUGAGUGAUGAAGGUUUUCGGAUCGUAAAACUCUGUUGUUAGGGAAGAACAAGUACCGUUCGAAUAGGGCGGUACCUUGACGGUACCUAACCAGAAAGCCACGGCUAACUACGUGCCAGCAGCCGCGGUAAUACGUAGGUGGCAAGCGUUGUCCGGAAUUAUUGGGCGUAAAGCGCGCGCAGGCGGUUUCUUAAGUCUGAUGUGAAAGCCCCCGGCUCAACCGGGGAGGGUCAUUGGAAACUGGGGAACUUGAGUGCAGAAGAGGAGAGUGGAAUUCCACGUGUAGCGGUGAAAUGCGUAGAGAUGUGGAGGAACACCAGUGGCGAAGGCGACUCUCUGGUCUGUAACUGACGCUGAGGCGCGAAAGCGUGGGGAGCGAACAGGAUUAGAUACCCUGGUAGUCCACGCCGUAAACGAUGAGUGCUAAGUGUUAGAGGGUUUCCGCCCUUUAGUGCUGCAGCAAACGCAUUAAGCACUCCGCCUGGGGAGUACGGUCGCAAGACUGAAACUCAAAGGAAUUGACGGGGGCCCGCACAAGCGGUGGAGCAUGUGGUUUAAUUCGAAGCAACGCGAAGAACCUUACCAGGUCUUGACAUCCUCUGACAACCCUAGAGAUAGGGCUUCCCCUUCGGGGGCAGAGUGACAGGUGGUGCAUGGUUGUCGUCAGCUCGUGUCGUGAGAUGUUGGGUUAAGUCCCGCAACGAGCGCAACCCUUGAUCUUAGUUGCCAGCAUUCAGUUGGGCACUCUAAGGUGACUGCCGGUGACAAACCGGAGGAAGGUGGGGAUGACGUCAAAUCAUCAUGCCCCUUAUGACCUGGCUACCCCUUGCUACAAUGGGCAGAACAAAGGGCAGCGAAACCAAGCUAAGCCAAUCCC
RNAcentral lists this ribosomal RNA (1234 nucleotides) under Bacillus licheniformis. RNAcentral describes it as "bacterial SSU rRNA". It matches the Rfam family "Bacterial small subunit ribosomal RNA", at positions 53 to 1275 of the family's 1533-position model. Lineage: Bacteria; Bacillati; Bacillota; Bacilli; Caryophanales; Bacillaceae. The record is from RNAcentral.